CGGGAAGCUGGUGACGUCAGCACGCCGGGCCCCGCCCACCUGCUUCAUUCCGCUUCAUUCUAUUCCAUUUCCUUCUUCUUUUUUUUUUUUUUUUGCAUCCAUUUUUCCCGCAUUUAAGAAAACUGUGGGGGAAAGAAAUGAUGACCCAGGAGGCGAGGAGAGGAGAGAGGAGAGAGAACACGGAAGCGCGGUGGAGGUUAUAAAGGGAAAGAGGGGAUAAAAGGAGGGAAGAAGGAAGACAAAAAAGGGAGGAGGGCGCUGAAAAUAAAUAAUAAAGGAAAUAAAAUAAUAAAAAAAAGGCCUCGGGAUUGAUAUAUGUGAUCAUUCUCCUGUUUGUGAUGGAUGAGCGCGAGCCGGGUGUGUGCACAGGACGCAGUGGGCAUGGGUUAGACUGGGAUUAGUCAUGAUGUGGAGAUAAAACAUCUCUUUUUGAAAAAGAUGUCAGCUCCGGAGAUGCCGGACCUGAGCCACCUGACCGAGGAGGAGAGGAAGAUCAUCCUCUCGGUCAUGGAUCGGCAGAAGAAAGAAGAAGAGAAGGAGCAGUCCAUGUUGAAAAGCCCUUUCUCCUGUUUGAGGUUUAGAAAGAUCCAGGAUGAGCUAGCUCUGUGAAUGAUCUGCGUCUUCACCCUGACGUAGCACCGCCUCAACCUCGCGGAAAAUGAAACGCCGUACCUACA
Molecule: long non-coding RNA, 677 nt
Organism: Ictalurus punctatus (channel catfish)
Lineage: Eukaryota; Metazoa; Chordata; Actinopteri; Siluriformes; Ictaluridae
Source: Ensembl